This 481-nucleotide ribosomal RNA is filed under the name uncultured bacterium. RNAcentral's name for it is "bacterial SSU rRNA". It matches the Rfam family "Bacterial small subunit ribosomal RNA", at positions 329 to 802 of the family's 1533-position model. The record is from RNAcentral.
GUACUUACUCCUACGGGAGGCAGCAGUGGGGAAUUUUGGACAAUGGACGCAAGUCUGAUCCAGCCAUUCCGCGUGCAGGAUGAAGGCCCUCGGGUUGUAAACUGCUUUUGUACGGAACGAAAAGGUUUCCAUUAAUACUGGGAGCUCAUGACGGUACCGUAAGAAUAAGCACCGGCUAACUACGUGCCAGCAGCCGCGGUAAUACGUAGGGUGCAAGCGUUAAUCGGAAUUACUGGGCGUAAAGCGUGCGCAGGCGGUUAUGUAAGACAGAGGUGAAAUCCCCGGGCUCAACCUGGGAACUGCCUUUGUGACUGCAUAGCUAGAGUACGGUAGAGGGGGAUGGAAUUCCGCGUGUAGCAGUGAAAUGCGUAGAUAUGCGGAGGAACACCGAUGGCGAAGGCAAUCCCCUGGACCUGUACUGACGCUCAUGCACGAAAGCGUGGGGAGCAAACAGGAUUAGAUACCCCUGUAGUCCAGGCAU